GGAGUUCCUUCGCCGCGGUACUGUGGUGGUCGCUGAAAAGGAGCAUGGAGGUUGGAAGCAAAACUAUUUGCCAAAAUGCAGAGGCUAGAGGUUCAGAGUUAUUUUUCUAAAGGUACUUUUACUCAAACCUGGGAAUGUUUUGCGUUGAUUUCUUUGAUGCUAUUCUGGCACCUGGAACUCGAGCAAUAAUGGCGGUUGGAGCAUACGCAUGAAGAACCAAAUGCAGGUAUGGUUUAUGCAAAAUAGAGGUCCUAAAUCGGUGACUUCAAAGUUCAAACUACUCAAAAUUUUAAAUUGAACAUAUAAUUUACUUUGUUGAGCAGGUAUCAAGAUUUCAGUAGCAUCAUAGGUUUAUCUUUUAUAUGUUAUAGAUUAUCCACUUUUGAUUUGUUCUAAAGACUUAAGAGUAUUUAGUUUCAGUAUCUUCAUGCUCCCUAAACAGUCAGCUUAAUCACACAUUAGUCAUGCCUUGUGUAAAUAAUGUGUCUGGUUAAUUCUGUUUUCACUUUUGUUUUCUUGCUUCCCCUGUAGACAAA
Long non-coding RNA from Lotus japonicus, 536 nucleotides. RefSeq lists it as uncharacterized. The record is from RefSeq and is a predicted model, not a curated record. The transcript has 3 exons. Lineage: Eukaryota; Viridiplantae; Streptophyta; Magnoliopsida; Fabales; Fabaceae.